Molecule: ribosomal RNA, 490 nt
Filed under: uncultured bacterium
Lineage: Bacteria
Description: partial 16S ribosomal RNA
Rfam family: Bacterial small subunit ribosomal RNA
Source: RNAcentral
GAUGAACGCUAGCUACAGGCUUAACACAUGCAAGUCGCGGGGCAGCACGGGGAUUGCUUGCAUUCCCCGAUAGCGACCGGCGCACGAGUGAGUAACGCGUAACCAACCUGCCCUUCACCACGGGCUAACCCGGCGAAGGUCUGACAACUACCGUUAGUUGUCCAUGCACGGCUCCCGAGUUUGACGAGAGGCUUGGGUGUGUGGGAUGGGGAUGCGUGCGGUUAGCCAGACGGCGGGGUAUCGGCCCACCGUGGGUACGAUCGGUAGGGGUUAUGAGAGGGAGGUCCCCCACACUGGAACUGAGACACGGUCCAGACUCCUACGGGAGGCAGCAGUGAGGAAUAUUGGUCAAUGGGCGUAAGCCUGAACCAGCCAAGUAGCGUGCAGGAUGACGGCCCUAUGGGUUGUAAACUGCUUUUAUGCGGGGAUAAAGUGGCCCACGUGUGGGCUUUUGCAGGUACCGCAUGAAUAAGGACCGGCUAAUUCCGUG